GUGUUUGCUUCAGCAGCAUAUAUAAUAAAAUUGGAAUGACACAGAGAAGUAUUGCAUGGCCCCUACACAAGGAUGGCAUGCAUAUUUGAGAGGCACUCCAUAUUAAA
Erinaceus europaeus (western European hedgehog) is the source of this 107-nucleotide small nuclear RNA. The record is from Ensembl. NCBI's taxonomy places the organism in Eukaryota, Metazoa, Chordata, Mammalia, Eulipotyphla, Erinaceidae.